UGGUAGAGGAUGCGGAUAUGAUCAGUACCCCUUAGCAUAACGCCGGUAAGCGGUUAUGGGGGAAAGGCUGAUCCGCCGAAGUGGUCUUACGGUUACCGCCGUUUGAUUGCUGGGGUUGCGUUUAACAGACGCUGCACUGUCACUUUUAUGUGGAGAGCUAUCA
Molecule: non-coding RNA, 163 nt
Filed under: bovine gut metagenome
Description: Lysine riboswitch
Rfam family: Lysine riboswitch aptamer
About the family: Riboswitches are metabolite binding domains within certain messenger RNAs that serve as precision sensors for their corresponding targets. Allosteric rearrangement of mRNA structure is mediated by ligand binding, and this results in modulation of gene expression.
Source: RNAcentral